UUGACGGGGCCCGCACAAGCGGUGGAGUAUGUGGUUUAAUUCGAUGCAACGCGAAGAACCUUACCUGGUCUUGACAUCCCGGAGACCCUUAGGAAACUAGGGGGUGCUUCCAUCUGGAAGAAUCUGGAGACAGGUGCUGCAUGGCUGUCGUCAGCUCGUGUCGUGAGAUGUUGGGUUAAGUCCCGCAACAAGCGCAACCCUUGCCUUUAGUUGCCAGCAGUUCGGCUGGGCACUCUAAAGGGACUGCCGGUGUUAAACCGGAGGAAGGUGGGGAUGACGUCAAGUCCUCAUGGCCUUUAUGACCAGGGCUACACACGUACUACAAUGGCCGAUACAAAGGGCAGCGACACUGCGAGGUGAAGCCAAUCCCGUAAAAUCGGUCUCAGUCCGGAUUGGAGUCUGCAACUCGACUCCAUGAAGUUGGAAUCGCUAGUAAUCGUGGAUCAGCAUGCCACGGUGAAUACGUUCCCGGGCCUU
Molecule: ribosomal RNA, 477 nt
Filed under: uncultured Desulfobulbus sp.
Lineage: Bacteria; Pseudomonadati; Thermodesulfobacteriota; Desulfobulbia; Desulfobulbales; Desulfobulbaceae
Description: bacterial SSU rRNA
Rfam family: Bacterial small subunit ribosomal RNA
Source: RNAcentral